Molecule: ribosomal RNA, 497 nt
Filed under: uncultured bacterium
Lineage: Bacteria
Description: partial 16S ribosomal RNA
Rfam family: Bacterial small subunit ribosomal RNA
Source: RNAcentral
GACGAACGCUGGCGGCGUGCCUAAUACAUGCAAGUAGAACGCUGAAGCGAGGAGCUUGCUCUUCUUGGAUGAGUUGCGAACGGGUGAGUAACGCGUAGGUAACCUGCCUUGUAGCGGGGGAUAACUAUUGGAAACGAUAGCUAAUACCGCAUAACAAUGGAUGACCCAUGUCAUUUAUUUGAAAGGGGCAAAUGCUCCACUACAAGAUGGACCUGCGUUGUAUUAGCUAGUAGGUGAGGUAACGGCUCACCUAGGCGACGAUACAUAGCCGACCUGAGAGGGUGAUCGGCCACACUGGGACUGAGACACGGCCCAGACUCCUACGGGAGGCAGCAGUAGGGAAUCUUCGGCAAUGGGGGCAACCCUGACCGAGCAACGCCGCGUGAGUGAAGAAGGUUGUCGGAUCGUAAAGCUCUGUUGUAAGUCAAGAACGAGUGUGAGAGUGGAAAGUUCACACUGUGACGGUAGCUUACCAGAAAGGGACGGCUAACUACGUG